RNAcentral lists this ribosomal RNA (253 nucleotides) under uncultured bacterium. RNAcentral describes it as "partial 16S ribosomal RNA". It matches the Rfam family "Bacterial small subunit ribosomal RNA", at positions 524 to 776 of the family's 1533-position model. The record is from RNAcentral.
UACGUAGGGGGCAAGCGUUGUCCGGAAUCAUUGGGCGUAAAGCGCGCGUAGGCGGCUCGGAAAGUCGGGCGUGAAAUGCCGGGGCUCAACCCCGGGACUGCGUCCGAUACUUCCGAGCUGGAGGUAGGUAGGGGAGAUCGGAAUUCCUGGUGUAGCGGUGAAAUGCGCAGAUAUCAGGAGGAACACCGGUGGCGAAGGCGGAUCUCUGGGCCUUACCUGAUGCUGAGGCGCGAAAGCUAGGGGAGCGAACAGG